GCCUCCAUAGCUCAGAGGUUAGAGCACGGGUCUCGUAUAUACCGGGGUUGCAGAUUUCGAAUCUCGCUGGUGGCU
Non-coding RNA from Araneus ventricosus, 75 nucleotides. The record is from the annotation of a GenBank genome assembly. NCBI's taxonomy places the organism in Eukaryota, Metazoa, Arthropoda, Arachnida, Araneae, Araneidae.